RNAcentral lists this ribosomal RNA (373 nucleotides) under uncultured organism. RNAcentral describes it as "partial 16S ribosomal RNA". It matches the Rfam family "Bacterial small subunit ribosomal RNA", at positions 527 to 896 of the family's 1533-position model. The record is from RNAcentral.
GUAGGUGGCAAGCGUUGUCCGGAAUUAUUGGGCGUAAAGCGCGCGCAGGCGGUCCUUUAAGUCUGAUGCGAAAGCCCACGGCUCAACCGUGGAGGGUCAUUGGAAACUGGGGGACUUGAGUACAGAAGAGGAAAGCGGAAUUCCAAGUGUAGCGGUGAAAUGCGUAGAGAUUUGGAGGAACACCAGUGGCGAAGGCGGCUUUCUGGUCUGUAACUGACGCUGAGGCGCGAAAGCGUGGGGAGCAAACAGGAUUAGAUACCCUGGUAGUCCACGCCGUAAACGAUGAGUGCUAAGUGUUAGGGGGUUUCCCGCCCCCUUAGUGCUGCAGCUAACGCAUUAAGCACUCCGCCUGGGGAGUACGGCCGCAAGGCUG